RNAcentral lists this long non-coding RNA (232 nucleotides) under Panax ginseng (ginseng). RNAcentral describes it as "long non-coding RNA (PGIN_LNC003300)". The record is from RNAcentral. Lineage: Eukaryota; Viridiplantae; Streptophyta; Magnoliopsida; Apiales; Araliaceae.
UUGACACUGGUAAAGUUUCUCUGGGCGGGCUUUCCAAUUGUGUUUCUCUUUAACUUCCUUCUUCCUCCUGUAACUUUCCAAUUUUGGUGUUUCUCUCUCCACGAUCCUCAACUAAUCAUUAAUCAUCUCUUCAUCAUGAACAAAUUCAAUAUGCAGCAAAACAAUAUGAGCUUUCCAUAUUUCCAGUACUAUCAAUCCGACCUCCAAAACCCUAAUACUAAUCCCAUCGAUC